Molecule: ribosomal RNA, 209 nt
Filed under: uncultured bacterium
Lineage: Bacteria
Description: partial 16S ribosomal RNA
Rfam family: Bacterial small subunit ribosomal RNA
Source: RNAcentral
UCCGCAGGGGGCCUGCCAAGUCUGUCGUGAAAACCCGGGGCUCAACCCCCGGGGCCUGCGGUGGAAACAGGCGGGCUGGAGUGUGUGAGGGGCAGACGGAACACCUGGUGUAGCGGUGGAAUGCGUGGAUAUCAGGUGGAACACCGAUGGCGAAGGCGGUCUGCUGGCACACAACUGACCCUCAGGGACGAAAGCGUGGGUAGCAAACA